GGCGGGUCCGAGUGCGAUGGUGUUUGCAACUAAUCGAUUACAGCCAGAGAUUUCUUUCUUUUCCACUCCCACUGUUUUCACAUGACUAGCUUUAA
RNAcentral lists this non-coding RNA (95 nucleotides) under Cebus imitator (Panamanian white-faced capuchin). The record is from RNAcentral. Lineage: Eukaryota; Metazoa; Chordata; Mammalia; Primates; Cebidae.